AGGAACGCAAGCAGCCAUCGUUGCUGGGGUGUCUCUGUCCCUCGCCCCGAGGCCCGCACCGCCCUCCUAGCGAUUAUUUUCGACGCCCGCCCUCCUGAGCCUCCUGAGUCGGCUGCCAGAGCGAGGGCCCGUCUCCCGCCGCCACUCGCGAUUUAUUUACACCUCGCAGGUGAGAGGAUUGAUUUGCUCAGUGCCAGGGGGGCCGGGCUGGGCCGGGGCGCGGGGCCUGCUCAUCGCUGCUGCUCGGGCCGGGCCUCAAAUGUCAGUGCGGCCAGGCCGGCCGGGGGCACCGCCGCCGCCUCUAACAUUGAGCAACAGCGCCACCUCGCGUCCACUUGCUCCAAUGCAGGCCGACCAGGAAAAAGCCAACAGCUAGAGCAAGCAGGUCCCCAAGGCUUGACCCAAAGGUGGGAAGUGGGAAGAAGGAGUUUCCAACAGCGUGCGCGCACGAGAGGGGUCCCUGGAAGGGGUUCCCUCCGCCUCCGGCCGCUGUACUUUUGUUUUCUAAAUUCUCGAAAGAAACCUUGUCAAAGGCUUCACACUAUUUUCUCUUUUUGUCACCCUCCCUCCCCGCACUGUGCAAAAGAACUGCCGCGAUUUCCCCCGCAUUCAGGCGCAUUUCUGGCCUCGGAACACCUCCGCGCCCGCAGAUGCACGCUCCGAAGCUCCCACGACCGCCUGCCCCCGGCGCGCACUCUAAAACUCCUCGGCCCUCUUACCCUGCUGCUGGCUCCGCAUCGCCUAUUCGCCGCCGCCCGCAGGACUUUGGGGUGGGACUCUGACUUCUCCCGGCUGUUUGCCCCCUGGUUUGUAGCCCAUCCCUCUCUCUCACGCGCGCUCUCUCGCCACCUCUCCCUCCCAGCCAGUGAGGUCCUGUUCUCCGUGGGCCAUAGACAAAACAUUCCUAUAAUCCGAUUUCAAAGGAAAGAGUGUCCACCUUAUUUAAACCAUAAAACAAUUAAGCCCAGACGUCUAGCCAGCUCCGCGCUGCUGUUUUGUUCUGCCCCAUUCAGAAUCCAGCGCAGGGAGACAAACAGCGCCAUAAAAGUGGCAUUUCGGGACCGCGGAAAUGUACCUAUCCUCUGCCUUCCCAAGUGGAACAACCUUUAGGGUUUUGUGAUUCUGACAAAGGAGCAGAGGAGAGGUGGGAGGGGAAGAUUAGGGCGGGGUGGGGGGCGUUUGCCGGCCCCUCUCCCCCCGCCUCUUCCCCGGGCUUUCGCUGCUUUCCCCAGAUGUGUGUUGUGCUGUCGUGGCUUGGAGUCACAAAUGACAAUAAAUAAAAAUCGAAUCCAAUCCUGACCUGCA
RNAcentral lists this long non-coding RNA (1305 nucleotides) under Sus scrofa (pig). Its description in RNAcentral is "lncRNA (ENSSSCG00025039285.1, ENSSSCG00030039015.1)". The record is from RNAcentral. Lineage: Eukaryota; Metazoa; Chordata; Mammalia; Artiodactyla; Suidae.